CACAAAUUUUAUUUAUUUAAACUGUAUAUUAAUCAUAGUGCAAAUUAUAUUGUUUCCAUCUAUAUAUUGUACUAUUAAGUUUCAAAUAUGAAAAUGUGAUAAAGUUUCAAAAAAUUGUAACUAGCUAUCCUUUCCAUCACAAUACAUAUACAGUUUCAGAUCAACGACAAAAAAUAAUGCUUCAAGUAGUAUAUAUAUAAUCUUAAAUUUAUUUUUAUUAAAGUUGUAGUAUGUAAAAUACCAUUCAUCAUAAUAAAAAAAUUUUGCCAGCUUCUAAAAAAUUAUGUUAGAUUAGUAUAUGAAUAAAUUUGUUGAUUAAUGAAUAGUUUUUUUUUAAUAAUUUUUGCAGAUGUCGUUAGAAUACAUAUUAUCUCCAAAUCAAUGGUUCUCUGCUACGAUUACUCAAUUUGCAAAUCAUUAAUAUCUUAAAAAUUUUGUAGAACUUAUAGAUACAGACGAUCAAGCUUCUUUAUUGUGCAGUCCAUUCCAUGGAUUCAUUUACGGAAGUAUGUAUAAAAAGCAAAAUGAAAAAUUUAGCAACAAAUUAAUACAUGAGUUCAUAGUGAGACUUAUAAACUGCGGUAAAAAUAACGAAGUUUGGGUACAAUUAUACGAUCAUGUAGCUCAGUUUGGCCUGCAAAAAUUUUGUCUAAUCAUUGGAUUACCAUGCCAUGAAGUUACUGUUAAUCUCAAUUUUAAUAAUACUCAACUUAGGGAUGAAUACUUCAAUGGUUCAAAGAGAGUUAUUAUGAUAAGACUUUCUGAAGUAUUUCAUAAAUGUCAAAAUCGAGAAGAUGAAUUUAAGUUGGGAUUAGUUAUGUUUGUCGAAUGCGUUUUAAAACUAACUGGAAGACACAUCGAUUUCAGAACUCUUGGAAUGGUUGAACAACUUGAUGAGUUCCUUAUGUAUCAAUGGAGACGUAAGACAUACUUUGUUUUAUUAAAUUCAUUACAAGAAUCACAACUUCAAAGAGUACGAAGAAUGUAACAAAAUGACCAAACAAACUGUAAAUAUUCGUUGCA
This 1023-nucleotide long non-coding RNA is filed under the name Olea europaea subsp. europaea. The record is from RNAcentral. Lineage: Eukaryota; Viridiplantae; Streptophyta; Magnoliopsida; Lamiales; Oleaceae.